RNAcentral lists this ribosomal RNA (261 nucleotides) under uncultured archaeon. RNAcentral describes it as "partial 16S ribosomal RNA". It matches the Rfam family "Archaeal small subunit ribosomal RNA", at positions 748 to 1008 of the family's 1478-position model. The record is from RNAcentral.
UGGCCGUAAACGAUGUGGACUUGGUGUUGGAAUGGCUCCGAGCUGCUCCAGUGCCGAAGGGAAGCUGUUAAGUCCACCGCCUGGGAAGUACGGUCGCAAGACUGAAACUUAAGGAAUUGGCGGGGGAGCACCACAACGCGUGGAGUCUGCGGUUUAAUUGGAUUCAACGCCGGACAUCUCACCAGGGGGCGACAGCAGAAUGAUGGCCAGGUUGAUGACCUUGCUUGACAAGCUGAGAGGAGGUGCAUGGCGUGUGACUGU